GCCUGGGUGGCUCAGUCGGUUAAGUGUCUGACUUCAGUUCAGGUCGUGAUCUCACGGUUUGUGAGUUCGAGCCUCGCGUCAGGCU
Molecule: transfer RNA, 85 nt
Filed under: Felis catus (domestic cat)
Lineage: Eukaryota; Metazoa; Chordata; Mammalia; Carnivora; Felidae
Rfam family: tRNA
About the family: Transfer RNA (tRNA) molecules are approximately 80 nucleotides in length.
Source: Rfam by way of RNAcentral